This 341-nucleotide long non-coding RNA is filed under the name Rattus norvegicus (Norway rat). Its description in RNAcentral is "long non-coding RNA NONRATT020430". Lineage: Eukaryota; Metazoa; Chordata; Mammalia; Rodentia; Muridae. The record is from RNAcentral.
CGACAUGGCCUCCAUAGCCCCUCUAGGCCAGGCGCUCACAUUUCUUCAGAAAGCCUGGAAGGACCAGACAGAUAACACAGUCCAGAGACCCUGCCCAUUGUUUCUUCUGAGAUCUGCGGCCGAGCCAGUGUCCCCUACCUGCCGCAUCCGCAAGGUUGAGGCUGCGAAGGGUCCUCAGGCCAACACCUUAGGAUAAGCCCACCAUUAAAAUACCUAGUGACUCUACUUUUUCGUAGGAAACAAUACUGAAUCCAGUCAGCAACAGGUUUCUGAAUUUCGUGACUGGUUUUCCAAUAUCUAGCUGUUCUCAACCCGUGGGUCGAGACCCCCUCGGAGUCACG